CCUACGGGAGGCUGCAGUGAGGAAUAUUGGUCAAUGGACGAGAGUCUGAACCAGCCAAGUAGCGUGAAGGAUGACUGCCCUAUGGGUUGUAAACUUCUUUUAUAUGGGAAUAAAACGUUCCACGUGUGGGAUUUUGUAUGUACCAUAUGAAUAAGGAUCGGCUAACUCCGUGCCAGCAGCCGCGGUAAUACGGAGGAUCCGAGCGUUAUCCGGAUUUAUUGGGUUUAAAGGGAGCGUAGGUUGAUUGUUAAGUCAGUUGUGAAAGUUUGCGGCUCAACCGUAAAAUUGCAGUUGAAACUGGCAGUCUUGAGUACAGUAGAGGUGGGCGGAAGUCGUGGUGUAGCGGUGAAAUGCUUAGAUAUCACGAAGAACUCCGAUUGCGAAGGCAGUUCACUGGACUGCAACUGACACUGAGGCUCGAAAGUGUGGGUAUCAAACAGGAUUAGAUACCCUUGUAGUC
RNAcentral lists this ribosomal RNA (460 nucleotides) under uncultured bacterium. Its description in RNAcentral is "partial 16S ribosomal RNA". It matches the Rfam family "Bacterial small subunit ribosomal RNA", at positions 338 to 795 of the family's 1533-position model. The record is from RNAcentral.